UACGUAGGGUGCAAGCGUUAAUCGGAAUUACUGGGCGUAAAGCGUGCGCAGGCGGCUAUGCAAGACAGAUGUGAAAUCCCCGGGCUCAACCUGGGAACUGCAUUUGUGACUGCAUGGCUAGAGUGCGGCAGAGGGGGAUGGAAUUCCGCGUGUAGCAGUGAAAUGCGUAGAGAUGCGGAGGAACACCGAUGGCGAAGGCAGCCCCCUGGGCUAACACUGACGCUCAGGCACGAAAGCGUGGGGAGCAAACAGG
RNAcentral lists this ribosomal RNA (253 nucleotides) under uncultured bacterium. RNAcentral describes it as "partial 16S ribosomal RNA". It matches the Rfam family "Bacterial small subunit ribosomal RNA", at positions 524 to 776 of the family's 1533-position model. The record is from RNAcentral.